UGGGUUUGACAUAUACCGGAAAGCCGUAGAGAUACGGCCCCCCUUGUGGUCGGUAUACAGGUGGUGCAUGGCUGUCGUCAGCUCGUGUCGUGAGAUGUUGGGUUAAGUCCCGCAACGAGCGCAACCCUUGUCCCUAGUUGCCAGCGGUUCGGCCGGGAACUCUAGGGAGACUGCCGGUGAUAAACCGGAGGAAGGUGGGGAUGACGUUUCCUUC
RNAcentral lists this unclassified non-coding RNA (214 nucleotides) under uncultured bacterium. RNAcentral describes it as "contains 16S-23S intergenic spacer region". It matches the Rfam family "Bacterial small subunit ribosomal RNA", at positions 976 to 1194 of the family's 1533-position model. The record is from RNAcentral.